GAUGAACGCUGGCGGCGUGCUUAACACAUGCAAGUCGAACGAUGAAGCCCAGCUUGCUGGGUGGCUUAGUGGCGAACGGGUGAGUCACACGUGAGUAACCUGCCCUUAACUCUGGGAUAAGCCUGGAUAACUGGGUCUAAUACCGGAUAGGAGCGUCCACCGCAUGGUGUGUGUUGGAAAGAUUUAUCGGUUUUGGUUGGACUCGCGGCCUAUCAGAUUGUUGGUGAGGUAAGGGCUCACCAAGGCGACGACGGGUAGCCGGCCUGGGCGGGGGACCGGCCAAACUACGAUGGAGACGAGACACAGCCUCGUACCCGAGGCAGCAGUGGAGAAUAGUACACAAUAGGCGCAACGCUGGUGUAGCGAAGCCGCGUGAGGGAAGACGGCAAUCGGGUUGGAAUCCACAGUCAGUAGGGAAGAAGCGAAAGUGACGGUACCUGCAGAAGAAGCACCGGCUAACUACGUG
This 466-nucleotide ribosomal RNA is filed under the name uncultured bacterium. RNAcentral's name for it is "partial 16S ribosomal RNA". It matches the Rfam family "Bacterial small subunit ribosomal RNA", at positions 28 to 507 of the family's 1533-position model. The record is from RNAcentral.